GUUCAAGGAAUUGUCUGCUCGCUCAAGGAAUCGUUUGGCUUCAUCGACAGAGCUGACAAAGUGAACGAGAUAUUUUUCCACUACAGUGAAUUUCUUGGGGAUAUUGGUGAUUUGUUGAUAGGAGAUGAUGUCCAGUUUGUUGUACAAAAUAGAUAUGGUAAAGAAGUUGCAGUCUCAGUGGAGCGUCUACCAGAAG
Molecule: long non-coding RNA, 196 nt
Organism: Xenia sp. Carnegie-2017
Lineage: Eukaryota; Metazoa; Cnidaria; Anthozoa; Malacalcyonacea; Xeniidae
Exons: 3
Source: RefSeq, a predicted model, not a curated record